RNAcentral lists this ribosomal RNA (369 nucleotides) under uncultured bacterium. Its description in RNAcentral is "bacterial SSU rRNA". It matches the Rfam family "Bacterial small subunit ribosomal RNA", at positions 527 to 896 of the family's 1533-position model. The record is from RNAcentral.
AGAGGUGGCGAGCGUUGUUCGGAAUUACUGGGCUUAAAGGGCGAGUAGGCGGUAGAGCAAGUCUGAGGUGGAAUCCUAUGGCUUAACCAUAGAACUGCCUUAGAAACUGUUUUACUUGAGUCAGUGAGGGGAGGGCGGAAUUCCUGGUGUAGCGGUGAGAUGCGUAGAUAUCAGGAGGAAGGCCUGUGGCGAAAGCGGCCCUCUGGCACUGUACUGACGCUGAGGCGCGAAAGCGUGGGGAGCAAACAGGAUUAGAUACCCUGGUAGUCCACGCCCUAAACGGUGGGCAUUAGGUGUAGGGCUCGUAAGGGUUCUGUGCCGAAGGGAAACCAUUAAAUGCCCCGCCUGGGGAGUACGGCCGCAAGGUUG